This 496-nucleotide ribosomal RNA is filed under the name uncultured bacterium. RNAcentral describes it as "partial 16S ribosomal RNA". It matches the Rfam family "Bacterial small subunit ribosomal RNA", at positions 29 to 507 of the family's 1533-position model. The record is from RNAcentral.
AUGAACGCUGGCGGCGUGCCUAAUACAUGCAAGUCGAGCGAACAGAUGAGGAGCUUGCCCCUCUGACGUUAGCGGCGGACGGGUGAGUAACACGUGGAUAACCUACCUAUAAGACUGGGAUAACUUCGGGAAACCGGAGCUAAUACCGGAUAAUAUAUUGAACCGCAUGGUUCAAUAGUGAAAGACGGUUUUGCUGUCACUUAUAGAUGGAUCCGCGCCGCAUUAGCUAGUUGGUAAGGUAACGGCUUACCAAGGCAACGAUGCGUAGCCGACCUGAGAGGGUGAUCGGCCACACUGGAACUGAGACACGGUCCAGACUCCUACGGGAGGCAGCAGUAGGGAAUCUUCCGCAAAGGGCGAAAGCCUGACGGAGCAACGCCGCGUGAGUGAUGAAGGUCUUCGGAUCGUAAAACUCUGUUAUUAGGGAAGAACAAAUGUGUAAGUAACUAUGCACGUCUUGACGGUACCUAAUCAGAAAGCCACGGCUAACUACAUG